AAAAACGACUCUCGGCAACGGAUAUCUCGGCUCUUGCAUCGAUGAAGAACGUAGCGAAAUGCGAUACUUGGUGUGAAUUGCAGAAUCCCGUGAACCAUCGAGUUUUUGAACGCAAGUUGCGCCCAAAGCCAUUUGGUUGAGGGCACGCYUGCCUGGGUGUCGUG
This 164-nucleotide ribosomal RNA is filed under the name Memecylon semseii. RNAcentral describes it as "5.8S ribosomal RNA". It matches the Rfam family "5.8S ribosomal RNA". Rfam says of the family: 5.8S ribosomal RNA (5.8S rRNA) is a component of the large subunit of the eukaryotic ribosome. Lineage: Eukaryota; Viridiplantae; Streptophyta; Magnoliopsida; Myrtales; Melastomataceae. The record is from RNAcentral.